GUAGCAAGGCGGAGCUGUGCCCUGUCACGGCACACAGAGAAUGCCCAUGGAUUUUCACAAAUGCUGUUAAAAUGUGAAAAGAAGGUGUUUCUUUUUUCUUCAAUCUGAGCUUCAAGCUAAUAUGGGCAUUCAGCUAAAUCCCUCCUGGGUCCUGAAACAGUAUGUGGUUUUGGAUUUCAAAGAUAAUCCCUACAACUUCUGGGAGAGGUGCAAGUAUCAACCAGUUGGAGACACAGGGAAAGGGUGAUAUAAUGCAGAAAGUGACUUGAACAAAUUUACACAGAAGGCAGUGAAGUGUGAUUCAAAUUCAAGCAGUCUAGACUGUGCCCCACACAACUCUGCAGCAUAACCUUGCAGUAUGAAAAUAAUGCCUCUCAUGCAGAUCAGGGAUAUGAGAUCCAGUGACUUACCCAAAGUUUCAAAGGAAAGAUGUAACAGAGCCAUCUCUGAACUUCUGCUCUUGGGAAUCUACACACUCUUUCCACUAGUUCUGACCUUAGCAGGUGUUUGACCCAGGACUUGCCCAACUUGGUUUCCAUUUGUAUAGAACUAAUGCCAAAUUUCAAAAGAAAAUAUUACAUACCAUAAUCAAUAAAAACAAAAUAUCAAACAU
This 613-nucleotide long non-coding RNA is filed under the name Homo sapiens (human). RNAcentral's name for it is "non-protein coding LINC01440:10". The record is from RNAcentral. Lineage: Eukaryota; Metazoa; Chordata; Mammalia; Primates; Hominidae.